RNAcentral lists this unclassified non-coding RNA (163 nucleotides) under plant metagenome. RNAcentral's name for it is "partial contains 5.8S ribosomal RNA, internal transcribed spacer 2, and large subunit ribosomal RNA". The record is from RNAcentral.
CGUGAAGAAACGCGUCCGGCGCACCAUCAACAGGAGAGACGAAACCGAAUCCUUUAGUGGCGUUGAACCACUUCAGCUUCGCAUGGGAUUGGGUCGCCUCUGCCCCAUCUCCGGCGAAUUCUUCAUUGAACCGCGGCACCCCAGACCUUCCUUAUUACUCGAU